UUAAGAAAUUUUACAGGCGGAUGGUGGAUGCCUUGGAAGAUUGAGGCGACGAAGGACGUGGCGUGUCUGCGAUAAGCCUCGGGGAGGUGACUAGCAACCUUUGAUCCGGGGAUUUCCGAAUGGGGAAACCCAACGUGGCUCAUACCGCGUUACCGCGCUGCUAAAAACAACGCGGGGCGAACCUGGGGAAGUGAAACAUCUCAGUACCCAGAGGAAAAGAAAACGAAGUUUAAUUCCCUUAGUAGCGGCGAGCGAAAAGGGAAGAGCCUAAACCGAGCACAUAACUUGUUUAUAUGCUCGGGGUUGUAAGAAGAUAGCGUCGGGAGCCGAGCACAUAAUUUAUGUGCUUGGUGCCUGAGGGAGAACAUUUAGAUAAAGUUUGGUUAGAAGAAAGACCCUGGAAAGGGCUACCAUAGAGGGUAAUAGUCCCGUAUUCAAAAAUCACUUUAUGCUCCUUGUUAUCUACCGAGCACAUAAGUUUUAUGUGCUUCGGUGAAUCUUGAGUACUUCGGGAAAUGAAAACCCUGAAGGAAGCAAGCCGGACUAACCGGCUAAGGCUAAAUACUCAAUCUUACCGAUAGUGAACCAGUACCGUGAGGGAAAGGUGAAAAGUAGGGAGGUAAUCCCGGUGAAAUAGAACCUGAAACCAUCUCGCUUACAAAGAGUCGGAGCCGAGCACAUAAUUUAUUAUGUGCUUCGGUGACGGCGUGCUUUUUGCAGAACGAGCCAAGGAGUUUAUCUUUUUCUUUUACCUAAGUCCUUUUGGGAUGGAGGUAUAGUGAAAGCGAGCGUUAAAAGCGCGUUAAAUAAAGGAAAGGAUAAGACCCGAAGCCAAGCGAGCUUGCCAUGGCCAGGGUGAAGUUUGACGAAAGUCAGAUGGAGGCCCGAACCCGUGAGCCGUGCAAUACUCUGGGAUGAGCUGUGGUAAGAAGUGAAAAGCUAAUCGAGCUUGGUAAUAGCUG
RNAcentral lists this ribosomal RNA (962 nucleotides) under bacterium. Its description in RNAcentral is "partial 23S ribosomal RNA". It matches the Rfam family "Bacterial large subunit ribosomal RNA", at positions 1 to 851 of the family's 2925-position model. The record is from RNAcentral.